RNAcentral lists this ribosomal RNA (253 nucleotides) under uncultured bacterium. Its description in RNAcentral is "partial 16S ribosomal RNA". It matches the Rfam family "Bacterial small subunit ribosomal RNA", at positions 524 to 776 of the family's 1533-position model. The record is from RNAcentral.
UACGGAGGGUGCAAGCGUUAUCCGGAUUCACUGGGCUUAAAGGGUGCGUAGGUGGGCAAGUAAGUCAGAGGUGAAAUCUCCGGGCUUAACCCGGAAACUGCCAUUGAUACUAUUUGUCUUGAAUACUGUGGAGGUCAGCGGAAUAUGUCAUGUAGCGGUGAAAUGCUUAGAUAUGACAUAGAACACCAAUUGCGAAGGCAGCUGGCUGCACAAAUAUUGACACUGAGGCACGAAAGCGUGGGGAGCAAACAGG